RNAcentral lists this ribosomal RNA (693 nucleotides) under uncultured bacterium. RNAcentral's name for it is "bacterial SSU rRNA". It matches the Rfam family "Bacterial small subunit ribosomal RNA", at positions 94 to 820 of the family's 1533-position model. The record is from RNAcentral.
AGCGGCGGACGGGUGCGUAACGCGUAGGAACGUGUCUAGAGGUGGGGGACAACCCUGGGAAACUGGGGCUAAUACCGCAUAUGGGCUGAGGCCCAAAGCCGUGAGGCGCCUUUGGAGCGGCCUGCGUCCGAUUAGCUAGUUGGUGGGGUAAAGGCCUACCAAGGCUCCGAUCGGUAGCUGGUCUGAGAGGACGAUCAGCCACACUGGGACCGAGACACGGCCCAGACUCCUACGGGAGGCAGCAGUGGGGAAUAUUGGACAAUGGGCGCAAGCCUGAUCCAGCAAUGCCGCGUGGGUGAAGAAGGUCUUCGGAUCGUAAAGCCCUUUCGACAGGGACGAUGAUGACGGUACCUGUAGAAGAAGCCCCGGCUAACUUCGUGCCAGCAGCCGCGGUAAUACGAAGGGGGCUAGCGUUGCUCGGAAUUACUGGGCGUAAAGGGCGCGUAGGCGGCUUAGUCAGUCAGGCGUGAAAUUCCUGGGCUUAACCUGGGGUCUGCGUUUGAGACGGCUAGGCUAGAGGGUAGGAGAGGGUCGUGGAAUUCCCAGUGUAGAGGUGAAAUUCGUAGAUAUUGGGAAGAACACCGGUGGCGAAGGCGGCGACCUGGCCUAUUACUGACGCUGAGGCGCGACAGCGUGGGGAGCAAACAGGAUUAGAUACCCUGGUAGUCCACGCCGUAAACGAUGUGCGCUGGA